This 424-nucleotide ribosomal RNA is filed under the name uncultured prokaryote. RNAcentral describes it as "bacterial SSU rRNA". It matches the Rfam family "Bacterial small subunit ribosomal RNA", at positions 355 to 796 of the family's 1533-position model. The record is from RNAcentral.
UGGGGAAUCUUGCACAAUGGGCGCAAGCCUGAUGCAGCCAUGCCGCGUGAAUGAUGAAGGCCCUAGGGUUGUAAAGCUCUUUCACCCGCGAAGAUGAUGACGGUAGCGGGAGAAGAAGCACCGGCUAACUCCGUGCCAGCAGCCGCGGUAAUACGGAGGGGGCUAGCGUUGUUCGGAAUUACUGGGCGUAAAGGGCGCGUAGGCGGAACAUCAAGUCAGAGGUGAAAGGCCCGGGCUUAACCUGGGAACUGCCUUUGAAACUGGUGUUCUAGAGUCCGGAAGAGGAUGGCGGAAUUCCCAGUGUAGAGGUGAAAUUCGUAGAUAUUGGGAAGAACACCGGUGGCGAAGGCGGCCAUCUGGUCCGGAACUGACGCUGAGGCGCGAAAGCGUGGGGAGCAAACAGGAUUAGAUACCCCCGUAGUCC